This 519-nucleotide ribosomal RNA is filed under the name Triticum aestivum (bread wheat). Its description in RNAcentral is "partial small subunit ribosomal RNA". Lineage: Eukaryota; Viridiplantae; Streptophyta; Magnoliopsida; Poales; Poaceae. The record is from RNAcentral.
AUGGGGCAGGCCUGGGCGUCUCUGCAAGAGAAGCUCCAAGGGCGGCACUGGAAGGAGAGGCAGGUGCGGAAGAUCACCGACAAGGUGUUCGACCGGCUCACCGAGGACACCCAGAAGCCCGAGAAGGACGCCCUCAAGUUCGAGGAGGUCUACAUCGCCGUCCUCUGCGUCUACAAUGACAUCAACAAGUACUUGCCAGGGCCGCACUACGACCCCCCGUCCAAGGAGAGGCUCAAGGAACUCAUGAGAGAGUUUGACAUCGACAUGAACGGUCUCCUGGACCGCGAGGAGUUCGCGGAGUUCAUCCGGAAGCUGACCGCCGAGUCACUCUGCGCGAUCAGCCUCAAGCUGAUCAUCACGCUGGUCGCCGCCCCUGCGCUGGCGCUGGCGACCAAAAGGGCAACCGAGGGCGUCCCCGGCGUCGGCAAGGUAGUGCACAAGGUGCCCAAUGCCAUCUACGCCGCCGCCAUCACCAUGGCUGCCGUGCUCAUCCAGAGAUCCGCCGAGGGCGUCGAGUAG